GACGAACGCUGGCGGCGUGCUUAACACAUGCAAGUCGAACGGAAAGGCCCUGCUUUUGUGGGGUGCUCGAGUGGCGAACGGGUGAGUAACACGUGAGUAACCUGCCCUUGACUUUGGGAUAACUUCAGGAAACUGGGGCUAAUACCGCAUAGGAUCUCCUGCUGCAUGGUGGGCGUUGGUAAGUUUCGGCGGUUGGGGAUGGACUCGCGGCUUAUCAGCUUGUUCGUGUGGUAGUGGCUUACCAAGGCUUUGACGGGUAGCCGGCCUGAGAGGGUGACCGGCGACAUUGGGACUGAGAUACGGCCCAGACUCCUACGGGAGGCAGCAGUGGGGAAUAUUGCACAAUGGGCGGAAGCCUGAUGCAGCAACGCCGCGUGCGGGAUGACGGCCUUCGGGUUGUAAACCAAUUUCGCCUGUGACGAAGCGUGAAUGACGGUAAUGGGUAAAGAAGCACCGGCUAACUACGUG
Molecule: ribosomal RNA, 468 nt
Filed under: uncultured bacterium
Lineage: Bacteria
Description: partial 16S ribosomal RNA
Rfam family: Bacterial small subunit ribosomal RNA
Source: RNAcentral